GCGGGAGUAGCUCAAUUGGUAGAGCGUCAGCCUUCCAAGCUGAAUGUCGCGAGUUCGAGCCUCGUCUCCCGCUCCA
Molecule: transfer RNA, 76 nt
Filed under: Chloracidobacterium sp.
Lineage: Bacteria; Pseudomonadati; Acidobacteriota; Blastocatellia; Chloracidobacteriales; Chloracidobacteriaceae
Also listed under: 1 other name
Description: tRNA-Gly
Rfam family: tRNA
About the family: Transfer RNA (tRNA) molecules are approximately 80 nucleotides in length. Their secondary structure includes four short double-helical elements and three loops (D, anti-codon, and T loops). Further hydrogen bonds mediate the characteristic L-shaped molecular structure. tRNAs have two regions of fundamental functional importance: the anti-codon, which is responsible for specific mRNA codon recognition, and the 3' end, to which the tRNAs corresponding amino acid is attached (by aminoacyl-tRNA synthetases). tRNAs cope with the degeneracy of the genetic code in two manners: having more than one tRNA (with a specific anti-codon) for a particular amino acid; and 'wobble' base-pairing, i.e. permitting non-standard base-pairing at the 3rd anti-codon position.
Source: RNAcentral